This 1075-nucleotide small RNA is filed under the name Pan troglodytes (chimpanzee). RNAcentral describes it as "processed transcript". The record is from RNAcentral. Lineage: Eukaryota; Metazoa; Chordata; Mammalia; Primates; Hominidae.
GCUGCGCCUGGCGAGCGACUGAGUCGUCCGUGAGGAAAAAGAGGCGAGGCUUUUCCGAGAUCGUCUCAGCGAUGGCGCUUCGGUCGCGGUUUUGGGGGUUGUUCUCGGUUUGCAGGAACCCUGGUAAUUAGUCUUGCCCCCCUUCUCCCAGCUCACUCGCCAGGGCUUGCACAGUACAUUGGAACGUGCGGGUUCUAUUUUGUAUUCGACGUGCCGGAUCGAAAUAGAGCUCGCGGCACUGCGAAGACCACAGUAGGAAGUUAAGGACGGGGGUGCAGGUUCGCAGCCCUGUCAACCAGCUCCGAGCCGGCAGCGAAACCUGAAGUGGACCCUGUGGAAAAUGAAGCUGUCGCCCCAGAAUUCACCAACCGGAACCCCCGGAACCUGGAGCUUUUAUCUGUAGCCAGGAAAGAGCGGGGCUGGCGGACGGUGUUUCCCUCCCGUGAGUUCUGGCACAGGUUGCGAGUUAUAAGGACUCAGCAUCAUGUAGAAGCACUUGUGGAGCAUCAGAAUGGCAAGGUUGUGGUUUCGGCCUCCACUCGUGAGUGGGCUAUUAAAAAGCACCUUUAUAGUACCAGAAAUGUGGUGGCUUGUGAGAGUAUAGGACGAGUGCUGGCACAGAGAUGCUUAGAGGCGGGAAUCAACUUCAUGGUCUACCAACCAACCCCGUGGGAGGCAGCCUCAGACUCGAUGAAACGACUACAAAGUGCCAUGACAGAAGGUGGUGUGGUUCUACGGGAACCUCAGAGAAUCUAUGAAUAAAUGGAAGCAUUAAUUGUUUUGAACAUGUAAAUAUAAAUCUGUCAGCCACUACAGCCAUCAAAAGAGAGCAUCUGGAAGAACAGCCAGCUUGGAAGUUUUACAGCAAUAAUGUUGCAGUGGAAUAUUAUUUGUAGUUAAGGUCAUCCUCCUCCCCUUUCUGUUUUUUUAAAUCAAGAACUACGUUCUGCCCCUCUCUUGGGCUUCAGAAGCAUCUAAGAAAAGCAGUCAUCAAUUAUAAUUAACUUUCAAAGGGCAAGUCAGAAGUUGUUUAUAAAUUACAAAAUAAAGGCAUAUUAUGAACUCUUAUUUUCUG